GCCAGGCAUGGUGGCGUGUGCCUGUAAUCCCAGCUACUCGGGAGGCUGAGGCAGGAGAAUCGCUUGAACCUGGGAGGCAGAGGUUGCAGUGAGCUGAGAUCAUGCCACUGCACUUCAGCCUGGGCAACAGAGCAAGACUCUGUCUCAA
This 148-nucleotide non-coding RNA is filed under the name Gorilla gorilla gorilla (western lowland gorilla). Lineage: Eukaryota; Metazoa; Chordata; Mammalia; Primates; Hominidae. The record is from Rfam by way of RNAcentral.